CUAAUGAAACCCUAAUCCAUAGCCAUUUGUAUACAACAUCAACAACAACUCUAUAUAAAUAACAUAAGAUCUUUGUUUCUCCUCGCUCACUCUAACCUCGGAACAAAAAACAAUAAAAAUGAGACGUUUCGUGGUGGUCGCAUUGAUGAUGAUGGUGGUGGCCUCUUCUUCUUGCUUGGCGGUUGGCCAUGAACUAGGGAGGAAGCUUGUGGUUGAGAAGAGUGGCAACAACAACGAUGAUAAUGGCGGCGGCUAUAUGAAUUCACGCCCUAAUGAUUUGGAAAAUCACCAUUGCAAACCCUGGCAAGACUUCAGCAACGACAACGGUAAUAACGGUGGCACACCCGUUGGACCUAAAGCUGGGGGUGCAUGCUAAGCUAAUAGUGUUAUAGUGUUUGUAUAGUUUAUGCUGCACGUACGCUAAAAAAUUAACAACUUUAAUUACUGCAUGUAUGGUGAGAUUUUUAUAUGGUCAUAUUGUAUGUGUGUGUAUACGCGCGCGGUGUGCUAUGUAUUUUAGCUUUGUGUUGGAUGGAAAUGCAUUAUUAUACGAAACAAUAAAUGAUAUUUUGGCUUU
Long non-coding RNA from Ipomoea nil (Japanese morning glory), 577 nucleotides. RefSeq lists it as uncharacterized. The transcript has 2 exons. The record is from RefSeq and is a predicted model, not a curated record. NCBI's taxonomy places the organism in Eukaryota, Viridiplantae, Streptophyta, Magnoliopsida, Solanales, Convolvulaceae.